RNAcentral lists this ribosomal RNA (1017 nucleotides) under Chromohalobacter sp. RNAcentral describes it as "bacterial SSU rRNA". It matches the Rfam family "Bacterial small subunit ribosomal RNA", at positions 107 to 1120 of the family's 1533-position model. Lineage: Bacteria; Pseudomonadati; Pseudomonadota; Gammaproteobacteria; Oceanospirillales; Halomonadaceae. The record is from RNAcentral.
UGAGUAACGCAUAGGAAUCUACCCAGUCGUGGGGGAUAACCUGAGGAAACUCAGGCUAAUACCGCAUACGUCCUACGGGAGAAAGCGGGGGCUCUUCGGACCUCGCGCGAUUGGAUGAGCCUAUGUCGGAUUAGCUAGUUGGUAAGGUAACGGCUUACCAAGGCGACGAUCCGUAGCUGGUCUGAGAGGAUGAUCAGCCACACCGGGACUGAGACACGGCCCGGACUCCUACGGGAGGCAGCAGUGGGGAAUAUUGGACAAUGGGCGAAAGCCUGAUCCAGCCAUGCCGCGUGUGUGAAGAAGGCUUUCGGGUUGUAAAGCACUUUCAGCGAGGAAGAAAGCGUGCCGUUUAAUACACGGUACGGACGACAUCACUCGCAGAAGAAGCACCGGCUAACUCCGUGCCAGCAGCCGCGGUAAUACGGAGGGUGCAAGCGUUAAUCGGAAUUACUGGGCGUAAAGCGCGCGUAGGCGGCGUGUCACGCCGGGUGUGAAAGCCCCGGGCUCAACCUGGGAACGGCAUCCGGAACGGGCAGGCUAGAGUGCAGGAGAGGAAGGUAGAAUUCCCGGUGUAGCGGUGAAAUGCGUAGAGAUCGGGAGGAAUACCAGUGGCGAAGGCGGCCUUCUGGACUGACACUGACGCUGAGGUGCGAAAGCGUGGGUAGCAAACAGGAUUAGAUACCCUGGUAGUCCACGCCGUAAACGAUGUCGACUAGCCGUUGGGUCCCUUGAGGACUUAGUGGCGCAGUUAACGCGAUAAGUCGACCGCCUGGGGAGUACGGCCGCAAGGUUAAAACUCAAAUGAAUUGACGGGGGCCCGCACAAGCGGUGGAGCAUGUGGUUUAAUUCGAUGCAACGCGAAGAACCUUACCUACCCUUGACAUCCUGCGAACCCGGAAGAGAUUCUGGGGUGCCUUCGGGAGCGCAGAGACAGGUGCUGCAUGGCUGUCGUCAGCUCGUGUUGUGAAAUGUUGGGUUAAGUCCCGUAACGAGCGCAACCCUUGUCCCUAUUUGCCA